GUUUUCAACAAGUUCAAGGACAGCCAAGGGAACGUCAAGGAUUCCCUUGUCAAUGACCACAGAGGAAUGCUAAGCAUGUAUGAAGCUAUGCAUCUCAGGGUGCACGGAGAAGACAUUUUAGACGAAGCACUAGCUUUCACUACUGCUCACCUUGAGCCCCUGGUUACCUGAAGUUCGCCUCUCGCAGCGCAAAUUACCCAUGCUUUAAUGCAGCCUAUUGGCAAGGGCAUAACCAGGCUAGAGGCAAAGCAUCACUUAUCUAUCUACGAAGAAGAAGCC
Molecule: unclassified non-coding RNA, 279 nt
Filed under: Hevea brasiliensis (rubber tree)
Lineage: Eukaryota; Viridiplantae; Streptophyta; Magnoliopsida; Malpighiales; Euphorbiaceae
Source: RNAcentral